This 1670-nucleotide long non-coding RNA is filed under the name Homo sapiens (human). RNAcentral's name for it is "TNPO1 divergent transcript, transcript variant 12 (TNPO1-DT)". Lineage: Eukaryota; Metazoa; Chordata; Mammalia; Primates; Hominidae. The record is from RNAcentral.
GCUGCCUGGGUCGGCUGGGCCUGUGGGCCUGCGUCCGACAGCGCGCGGCCGUGCUUUCUAAGCGGGCUCGGCAGCACCAGACUUCACCGGCCCGGCGCGGGGCUCACAAGUGCUCGCACUCCCUGCGGCCGGCGCGCUGACCGGAGCCUCUGGGUCUCGCACGCAGCAGCUGCAGACGCUGCCCGGCGCGGUGGGGCUGUGAGCAAAACGGCCCGCCGGUGUGGUUGCCCAGACUGUGCUGGGCCCUCCUAGGUGGAUGGCCCUGCCCCAGCCUAACUUCUGUACCCCAGCAUAACCUCCAAAGUAACAGCCGUGCCCUGGGAGCCUGUUCAACACUGAACAUAUCCCACAAUAACACUGUUCCAGCGUCGCUGGUAAAAAGCAGAAAUGGCUUCGCUGGAGGCAUCGACAAAUCUAAUGCAGUAACCUCAUUUUACAGAAGAGAACUCUAAGAGGAUAACUAACUUGGCCAAGAUCACAUGAUGUUUCUGGAUGAGAUUAGCAUUCAAAUUCGUGGACUCAUUAAAGUAGAUGGCUCUCUCCAAUAUGGGUGGGCAUCAUCCAAUCUGUUGAAGGCGUGAAGAGAACAAGAGAAGGAGGAAGGAAGAAUUCACCUUUUUUCUUGCUGCCCACCUGCUUGGGCUGGGACAUUGCAUCUCACCUUCUCCAGCCUUUGGAUGAGGAUUUACACCCUGGUUCUCAGGCCUUCAGGCUCUAACUGGAGCUACACUAUCAACUUUCCUGGGCCUCCAGAUUGCAGAUGGUGGAUCACGGUACUUUUUAGCCUCCAUCAUAAUAUGAGAAAAAAGAGGCACAGUGAAGCUAAAUAUAUUGGCUAAAGAUCACAAAGCUAAGAAGAUUAUCAAGGUUAUCUGUGCUCAAUGUGUGCAUCUCAGAUCAGCAGCAUCAGCAUCACCUGGGAGCUUGUUAGAGCUGGAGACUCUCAGGCUCCACGGCAGACUUCCUGAAUCAGAAGCUACAAUUUAACAGGAUCCUCGGGUGAUCUGAAAAUGCAAUAAAGUUUGGGAAGCACUGCUGUUGGUCAUUAGACAAUCUAAUGAACUAAGACUUUUGCCGAGCAUCUGAGUUGAAAUUUUUCAAGAUGAAAAGUUGCUAAAGAAAGAGAAAGGGAAGCGGUUUGCUCCAGUAUUCCUCUUUCCACCUUCCCACUGACUGGGAAGCGGCGGUUAGCAGAGCCACAGUCUUGGAUUAGAGAUAAGAGGGACAUGUUGAGGAAGGUGGAGUCUCCCCCACAGCCCUGGACCAGUACGGAAUCCCUGUAUUCUAGGAUUUGGCAAGCUGUCCACUGAAACAUUAUUUUUCCCAGCCUUCUUUGCAGAGGUGGGGAAACUGAGGCAAAGGGUGUUUAAAUGGUCUGCCCAAAGUCACACAGCUAAGAAGCAGUGAUGGGAUAUGAAGUCAAACAGUCUUAAAAGCAAGCUAUCCUGUUGCAAAAUAGAAUGUAGACACGAUGGUUGGAGUUCCAGAAGUUGUCUUGGACGAUGAGGUAGCUUUGAGGAUAGAAGCCUUUGGCUAAGGAAGGUGGAGCACAAAGACAGAAGACGAAGAGCAUUCCUGAGGACUGUGGAGUUCCAUGCCAGCCUUGCAUUGUCUAUCUUGUUACUUCUGUGGGAGAAAAAAUACAGUAAACCUCUAUCUUGCUUAAGCUC